AAAACAUGCAAUAUUUUGUUGAUCUAACUAAGAAGUUUAAGUUUUCAUUGAUUCUAACGUUUCUUGUUAGCGCGUGCGCAGUUUGAACCUUGAACGCAUGCGCACUUUGAUACUUCAGCUACUUCGGCUGUAUGACGCAGAUUUCAAAAAGUUGAUGCUGAUGAGGGGUGAUAUCGUGCCUGCGUGUUUCUGUUUUCGCGCACUUUUGUGUGGUUGUCGAUGCUAACGUGAAGGACGAGUGGCGUCGUGCUUGAUCGAUCCAGCUUUUCUAUAAAAUUAACGUGUUUCUGAUGUUGUGCACAUUGAGUUCUUUUCAAAGCUGACGUGCCAGAUAAAUCCAGCUUUUCUAUAAAAUCACUGGUGAGUGACAUUACCAAACAUCGUAAAACAACGGCUCUUGAGGGAUUGCUACUUUUCCUGCUUGAGAAGUCAGCAAAUUUGCUCAAGAUAUGCCUGGAUACGAAUUCUGUGAACUGCUGCACCAAAGGUGUAAAGAUUGGAAUUCUGACUGUGGAGGAAGAUGAUGUUGCCGGUGUUACAUCGCAGCCCACUGUUAUCAACAUGGCCAUAAUCUUGGAGGAGGCCAUUGUGCUUGAGGACAUUAAAGAUCUUCCAUCUGCAUUUGCAUAUUUGUUUGGCCUCUUAUAUGCAUUUAACAUGGAAUAUCUGAAAGAAUUGAAGUACACUUUUGAAGUCAUCAUGGAUCUAGGUGGUACCUGCUCAGCUAGAGUGCAGUCAUUGAAAUCCAAACUUUGCUAAAUGGAUGAAGCCACUUAAAUGACGUUCUUGCGUUGGCUUUUUUUAAAUACUUUUAUACUUAAUGACUACAAAAAACACC
This is a long non-coding RNA of Onychostoma macrolepis, 838 nucleotides long. RefSeq lists it as uncharacterized. The record is from RefSeq and is a predicted model, not a curated record. Lineage: Eukaryota; Metazoa; Chordata; Actinopteri; Cypriniformes; Cyprinidae. The transcript has 5 exons.